Long non-coding RNA from Bombus pyrosoma, 3149 nucleotides. RefSeq lists it as uncharacterized. The transcript is spliced from 3 exons. NCBI's taxonomy places the organism in Eukaryota, Metazoa, Arthropoda, Insecta, Hymenoptera, Apidae. The record is from RefSeq and is a predicted model, not a curated record.
CAAAAAGCGUUCUCUCGUCGAAAGAGUAUAACGGCUGCUCGGGGCCCGCCUCUGGAAAUGGUAAUAUCCAGAUCGCGGGCGCGCAUCAUGCCUUUUUUUCCUCCCGAUUUUCGAUAGAAAUAACAGCAGCCUGAUUGGCCCUUUAACGCUUACGUCCACCGUGGAUACGCGCGAGUACGCGUUCCACCUUUCGAAGGAAACCGGUUCGAAGAAAUCUGAACGUUGCAACUUCUGCUCUUUCUUCGUGGCCUUGAAAGAGCUACGCUUGUUCGCGGUCUAGUUCACCAGAUACCCUUUCAUGACGAACACUUUCCAUUGUGUAACGAAUUUUUUCUUCAUCUUCUCCCUCUGUAUUUUUCCUCGUGGAUCGCUCUCCUCGCGGUUCUUCUCUUUUUCAUCGUUCGUUCUUGCUUAAAAACCGAUUCUUAUUCUCCGCUGUAAAGUCGAUUCUUUCCUCUCGCGUCUAGCGCCGAGCAAUCUCAGUGACGCUCGAUCGCGGAACGAUCUGCAUUGUUACUUUCUAGGAGAAAUUAAUUCGCGCAUAAACAGCGUAAUCUCUGCCAGAUGAAAAUGGGGAAAAAGUGUGUCGGAUAACGCGCAUACCACCGUUCGAAUAUUCAUGAAUCCCGAUACACUUUGAUAAUACACGAGCCAUCUGGUAUUCAAUGACAGACAAUAUCGUUACUUUUUAAUUGACUCUCGAAAUAUAUUCAACGAAAUUAAUCGUAAGGAACGAGGCAUGAACGCGAUGGAACGUUCGCUACCGUUUCCAUGUACGAUGAUAGAGGAUCGUCAGAUGGAACGACAUGUUUCGUGGCUGGACACACGUUUCUCUUCAAACUUCUAUCAAAUGAUGUUACGUAAACAGGGAGUGGUGUUUAGGCAAUCCGUAGAACGGUACCGAAGCGUGCAUCCUUAAUGCUCGUCCCCUUGCUUGUCUCGUUUUGGAAAAGAACGGAAGUACUUUCACUGGCUACGAGGUCGGAAAGUUGAGCAUUUCAAUAGCCACGAGACAUUGCCAAUUCGCAACGAGAGAUCUCACUUUUCUCUCUUGGUCCUUUUGCCGUCCAUCCACGAACUCUUUUUUCGUCCCAGACUUUGAAUAAUGUUCGAAUACUGUCAUAUCAUGAGUAGCACUUAUUGCAAAACUCGUGAAAGUUCAUCUUCGUUAGAUCAAAAGGAAUUUCAGUACUUUAAUAGCUUUAGAACAUUUUUCCUAUGUUUCAUACAUGUUUUAAACGAUACCGUGUAAUUGCAUGAGAAACUAGAUCUGAUUGAUCGAAUUACUUUCAAUCGUAGAAAUCCGAUUAUUUCGUUGCAUGGUCGUAUGUCAUUAAAUGAUAAUCGAAUCCUGUUAAACGUCAUUAGUGCUGAAUUUCUGUCCAUUAAUUUGCCAUACGUGGAAACUGAAAUCACUACUAAAGUCGCGAGAACGACCAGCGAUUUAUUCAUCGGUAAUAACUACUUCGCUCAACCAUUAAAAUCGCUAGUUUCAUUUACCUAUCUUACCUUGUGUACGUUUUACUCGGUGAGUAGGCUGGUGAUACGGGCUUUCUUUCAAAAGCCGAUCCAGUCCUUCUCACUUUCACUUAAUUUUUCCAAUGACCAUCGCAUGCGUAUUGUAUUACAAGUCCCAACGCAUCGAAUUCAAUGAGAGUUUCUAGUUAUUUUUAACCGCUUACUAUUCCUUUUUUAUCCUCUACUUUGCGCAGAAGUUAGUAUCUUUCACCUUUCUGUACCUUCAAUAUCUUCUUUAGAAAUCUCGAAGGAGUUGAAAAAAUAAGCUCUUGGUCUUAAAAAUUGAACUAAAAACUUUAUCGAGAUUUUUAAUCAUCGUCUCUAACAGGACUCCGGGACACCUUUUUUACUUACCGAUCUGUCAAACCAAAUCAAUCUCGUUCUUGUAAUCUUCUUCCCCUAAGUUUUAGUCUUCUGUUUCCCUUCCACCGUCCAAAAGGCGAUUACUCAAAAGAAACUCCCGCCAACUUCGCCGCCGUCUCUUCUUCUUCCUCUUUUUCUUCCACGUCGAUCCUGAACAGUCCUCACCACCAUAACACAACGGUUCUCACUGAUAUAUCGCGUCACCUUCGAUCCACGAUCUAUCUAUCGCGACUUUUACAUCGAAUUAACCCAGCUAUGUACCAACAUUGCGUCACAGUCACCAAAGACCUGCCUCAUGCUUCUUCACUAGUUUCUUAUCAUCUUCACACUUUGACUAUUUUUCUUCUCUCUCGGCCGGCGUCGAUCUUCAAGUUCCUUUAUGGAAAAAAAAAGAACCAGCGCGAGAGAUGAAUCUACUUGGAAAUGUUCUUUCAGUUCUGCCUGAGUUUCUUCACCGUGGAUUCACCAGACUUUUCCUAAAUUUUCCCGGCCAUUGGAUCUCAAAACGGUCACGAUCGAACCAAGGAUUUUUUCGAGGAACAAGGAAGAUGCACACGAUGGAGGGACUGCACCAUGUCUAUCCUCUCGUCUCGAGGAGCCCCGGUCGCCUGCUCGUCGUUGCCCACCGUCCGCUACGUCGGCUCUCACUUUCUCCGGCGAGUAGUUUCAUUUCGAUUCUUCGUGUAACGAAGAACGGGUAAAAAUAAUGAUGAAGCAGAUACGAAAAAAUGAGAACGACGAUGGAGAAGGGAAGAGUAUACAUAUGCAAGGAAAAACUUCCGUAAUUGGAAAUGCGAGAAAAAGAAUAGGACGAAAAGAUCAAGUGACUAGAAACUAGAAACGCUCUAAUUGGAGAUAACCACCAAUCGUUGGUCCACAAAACGACCACGACGCUUCUGAUUAGAACAUUGCGCAUGGAACGAGUCGCGGAGACUGAAAAUACCAACGACUGGAAAAUUAAAGGUAAGAUUUCAUGUUUUAACGAGAGCAAAGGAAAUAUCGCAGAAACUUAAAUACAGUGCAACAGUUAAUCAAGAUGUAUUUGUAUUAAUAGAGAGGAAAUUCGUGUGUUUGAAUAUUUCUCAGUUAAUGUAGUUUAUGUAGUAGUUAUCGUUAUGCAGUUACGUAGUUAUAGUCAUAUAGUAUAAUUAUCAAUUAUCGUUUACAACUUAGAAACGUUUUUUAACAGUAGUUUGAGUUUUGAACAGCGGAAAAGAAAAGAAAAAUAAAGAAAAUGGAUCUAUGAAAUGUUGAAGGUUUGUCGGUCA